AUACGUAGGUCCCGAGCGUUGUCCGGAUUUAUUGGGCGUAAAGCGAGCGCAGGCGGUUUCUUAAGUCUGAUGUGAAAGCCCUCGGCUUAACCGAGGAAGUGCAUCGGAAACUGGGAAACUUGAGUGCAGAAGAGGGCAGUGGAACUCCAUGUGUAGCGGUGAAAUGCGUAGAUAUAUGGAAGAACACCAGUGGCGAAGGCGGCUGUCUGGUCUGUAACUGACGCUGAGGCUCGAAAGCAUGGGUAGC
This 247-nucleotide ribosomal RNA is filed under the name uncultured bacterium. Its description in RNAcentral is "partial 16S ribosomal RNA". It matches the Rfam family "Bacterial small subunit ribosomal RNA", at positions 523 to 769 of the family's 1533-position model. The record is from RNAcentral.